UGAGGAAUAUUGGUCAAUGGGCGGGAGCCUGAACCAGCCAAGCCGCGUGGAGGAAGAAGGUACAGAGUAUCGUAAACUCCUUUUGUCAGGGGAUAAAAGGCGCCACGAGUGGCGUUCUCAAGGUACCUGAAGAAAAAGCAUCGGCUAACUCCGUGCCAGCAGCCGCGGUAAUACGGAGGAUGCGAGCGUUAUCCGGAUUUAUUGGGUUUAAAGGGUGCGUAGGCGGUCUUUUAAGUCAGCGGUGAAAGCCCGGGGCUCAACCCCGGCGAGCCGUUGAUACUGGGAUACUGGAGAGGAAGAGAGGCAUGCGGAAUUCGCGGUGUAGCGGUGGAAUGCUUAGAUAUCGCGAAGAACUCCGAUUGCGAAGGCAGCAUGCUGGCUUCUGUCUGACGCUGAGGCACGAAAGCGUGGGGAUCGAACAGGAUUAGAUACC
Molecule: ribosomal RNA, 433 nt
Filed under: uncultured bacterium
Lineage: Bacteria
Description: bacterial SSU rRNA
Rfam family: Bacterial small subunit ribosomal RNA
Source: RNAcentral